UGGACGGUUGGACUGGAUGAUCUUAGAGAUCUUUUCCAGCCUUAAUGAUUCUACGAUUCCUACAGGAAACCCACCUCAGGCCACCACCUCUUGGCUGUAGAUAAGGAAUCUCGAUAGUGCUUUGGACUAACACCUGUGUGCGUGUCCUUUCAGAGAGGAAGGAAAGGGCGGCUGCCUUGGGUCAAGUCAUCUGGGCGAACGACAUGUGCAAUCACAGAAGGUGAUGGAGCACGCCUUUCCAUCAGCGCCAGCUUACUCUGGAUCAGGCCCAGGAUGCAUCAUUGCGGCUGUGAUGUGUGGUUCCAAGAGGGUCUGAAGACUUCAUCUAAGGUCAUCGAAAGGCUUUGCUGCUUGAGACGUUGUGCAAACAUGGACGAAAUGGAGCUUAACUAACAAUGGUUGUUACAAAAAGUGGGGAUUAUAUUCUUUAUAUUGCUGGCAAAUUGAUGCGUGGAGAAAAAUCACACAAGAAUUGUGGAGGUCCCUUCCAAUACUGGUGAGUCUAUGAUUCUAAACAGAAACUCAACCAGGUCUUCCAAGCCCAUAUGUAAUAACUCGCUUAAAGGUGUAGGGCGUAACAAACAGAUCCAUAUAGAUGGUACCUGAACAUUUAGUCCCAAAAGGUGAAAGAUGUAAGAGAUAAGCAUAACUUGGUAAGAGCCCUGAAGUAAGAAGACCAGCUUGAUCUUGAGCUAAAAAAAAACAGGUCCAUGGAGGGAUAUAAAGUUAGGGAGAAGGUUAAAAUGGUUUAAUGAAUGGCAAGAAAUCCUUGCUUUUUAUUUGCCACAGUGAGAGUAAAGGAUGUUGUAAUAAUUGAAGCACCUGUGUGGAUGCUGUAAGAAGAGAAAGUGUACACAUGUAACAGGAGAAUCUGCAAAAUGGUGUAUAGCCUGGAUGGAAAACUCAGAGAAAGACUUAAGCUGAAGGCAAUACUAUGGGAAAAUUCUGAUGUUUUCCAGGCU
RNAcentral lists this long non-coding RNA (962 nucleotides) under Numida meleagris (helmeted guineafowl). RNAcentral describes it as "lncRNA (ENSNMEG00000000399.1)". The record is from RNAcentral. Lineage: Eukaryota; Metazoa; Chordata; Aves; Galliformes; Numididae.